AUCUUCACAAUGGACGAAAGUCUGAUGGAGCAACGCCGCGUGAGUGAAGAAGGUUUUCGGAUCGUAAAACUCUGUUGUUGGAGAAGAACGUAUUUGAUAGUAACUGAUCAGGUAGUGACGGUAUCCAACCAGAAAGCCACGGCUAACUACGUGCCAGCAGCCGCGGUAAUACGUAGGUGGCAAGCGUUGUCCGGAUUUAUUGGGCGUAAAGCGAGCGCAGGCGGUUUCUUAAGUCUGAUGUGAAAGCCUUCGGCUCAACCGAAGAAGUGCAUCGGAAACUGGGAAACUUGAGUGCAGAAGAGGACAGUGGAACUCCAUGUGUAGCGGUGAAAUGCGUAGAUAUAUGGAAGAACACCAGUGGCGAAGGCGGCUGUCUGGUCUGUAACUGACGCUGAGGCUCGAAAGCAUGGGUAGCAAACAGGAUUAGAUACCCUGGUAGUCCAUGCCGUAAACGAUGAGUGCUAGGUGUUGGAGGGUUUCCGCCCUUCAGUGCCGCAGCUAACGCAUUAAGCACUCCGCCUGGGGAGUACGACCGCAAGGUUGAAACUCAAAGGAAUUGACGGGGCCCC
This 569-nucleotide ribosomal RNA is filed under the name Lactobacillus sp. RNAcentral's name for it is "bacterial SSU rRNA". It matches the Rfam family "Bacterial small subunit ribosomal RNA", at positions 361 to 922 of the family's 1533-position model. The record is from RNAcentral. Lineage: Bacteria; Bacillati; Bacillota; Bacilli; Lactobacillales; Lactobacillaceae.